GCGAAAGAGGAAGACACGAAGUUAAACUCUUUAUUUAUCGCAGGUCUUCCUCCGUUAGACGUGUCUCCACUGCAGAUAAGCAAGGAUGGCAAAGAAGUGUGCAGCCAAGCCAGAUGAAGGUCUGAUGAUGAUGCAGGAGCUUGAUGACCGGCUGAAAGAGCAGAUUGACAAACUGGAGCACGUUCGUCUUGCUGCUGUUGAACUGAGAGACAACUUCUCUGGGACCACCAGUGAUCUAACCCAGUCUAUUAGUGACCACCUGGAGUGGCUAAAUCACUUGUC
Molecule: long non-coding RNA, 282 nt
Organism: Nematolebias whitei (Rio pearlfish)
Lineage: Eukaryota; Metazoa; Chordata; Actinopteri; Cyprinodontiformes; Rivulidae
Exons: 3
Source: RefSeq, a predicted model, not a curated record